GUGAAUCAUCAAAUUUUUGAACGCAAAUUGCACUCCCUGGUAUUCCGGGGAGUAUGCGUGUUUGAGGGUCGAUAGAAUACAAAGUCGAUGCGUCGCUCUUUUUUUUAAGGGUGAUCGCGUCGGAAUAGAGCCGUCCUUCUAAUGUUAAUUCAUUUCAAAGUGGUUUGACAUUCAUCCAUCCCGUACGUUUUAAGC
RNAcentral lists this unclassified non-coding RNA (195 nucleotides) under Glomeraceae sp. Its description in RNAcentral is "partial contains 5.8S ribosomal RNA and internal transcribed spacer 2". The stretch from base 1 to 71 matches the Rfam family "5.8S ribosomal RNA", at positions 84 to 154 of the family's 154-position model. Lineage: Eukaryota; Fungi; Glomeromycota; Glomeromycetes; Glomerales; Glomeraceae. The record is from RNAcentral.